RNAcentral lists this long non-coding RNA (3568 nucleotides) under Capsicum annuum. RNAcentral's name for it is "long non-coding RNA (CANN_LNC015795)". Lineage: Eukaryota; Viridiplantae; Streptophyta; Magnoliopsida; Solanales; Solanaceae. The record is from RNAcentral.
UAGAUGACUAUGAAAGUACUGAAAGAUUAUGAGAAAACAUCUAGUCAGUUGGUUAAUAGAGAAAAAAAUGCAUUUUAUAUGCACAGAAACACUUCUUCAGAAUUGAGACAGGUUGUGUCUAGUAUAACAGGUUUUAAAAGUGGUUCAUUCCCAUUCAAAUAUAUAGGGUGUCCCAUUUUUCAUACUAAGAAGAAGAAAGUCUUCUAUAAUGAGUUAAUAAAGAAGAUUAAGGACUGGCUGCACAUUGGAAAGAAAAGUAACUAUCUUUUGGGGGUAAAGCUAUGUUAUUCAAUAAUGUUCUUUAGAGUAUGCCCCUAUAUUUAUUAUCAGCUAUGGCCCCAACAAAAUUCACCAUUAAUGAAAUUCACAGAGUUUUUGCAAGUUUUUUUUGGAGCAACAAAGAGGAAGAAAGAAGCAGACAUUGGUCUAAAUGGUUGAAUAUUUGCUUGCCUAAGGAAAAAGUAGGGUUAGGGUUCAGAUCUCUGUUUGAUGUUUCAAAAGCCCUAUCUGCUAAACUUUGUGGAAGUUUAGAGUUACAAUUACAUUGUGGUCCACUUUUAUGUGGAACAAAUAUUGCAAAAAAAUAAACCCAACUCAGGUUGUAUAGAAAGGAGGUUCACAGAUUUGGAAGUUGAUGUUGGAAGCAAGAGACUUUAGUGAAAAAUAUAUUUGAUGGGAAACAAGGUGUGGUAAUACAAGUUUUUGGCAUGACAAUUGGACUAGAUUAGGAUCACUGACAAGUAUUUUACAUCCUAAAUCAGAAACUUCCUUCAUAGGUGAUUAACCAUAUUAGCAAUUUAUUGCCUUUGAAUAGCAACACUACUAGUAGUAACAAACCUUGGUGGACGUUGUCUAAAAGUGGUGAAUUUACUGUCAGAACAGCUUGGGAAAAGAUCAACAACAGAAAAGAUAAAUCUUGGUUUUUGACUAAAGUGUGGAGAAAGAGAUUGCCUUUUAAAAUUGCCUUUUGCCCUUUGGAGGAUUUGAAGAGAAAAGAUUCAUGUUGAUGAUAUCGUUGGUUUCAAGAUGUAGAUGUUCUGUCAACCCACAACUUGAAACAAUAGAGCAUUUAUUUCUCACAGGAGAGAUUGUCUCUAAUAUCUGGGCAAGAUAUGCCUUGGCUGCAGGUAUUCAAGGCCAUUUGUGUAGAUUAAACAAACAAUUGUUAAAUGGUGGAAAGUAAAAUGUCCAUAUACAUUACUAAGUAGCAACAUUGAAGCUACAGUGUUGGAAUGUUGGUCUCCUCAAGGUUGGAACCUCACAUUCAGAAGACAUCUCAAUGAUUGGGAAGUGGACAGGAUGACAAACAUGUUGAAUGUGCUAGAAGUCUUCACGGGCACAACUACUAAUCCAGAUUCUCUAAGGUGGAAACACACAGAAGAUGGCAUUCUCACAGUGAAUAGACUCUACAAGAAGGAAAACAACGCAGUACAGGGUGAAGUAUCAAAGCUCUGGAAACCUAUGGAAGAUUCAGGUUCCUACUAGAGUGAAAUGUUUCACUUGGCUAGUGGUCAGAAGGGCAUGUCUCACUCAAGAAGUUCUCCAGAAGAAGGGAAGGACACUAGUUCCUAGAUGUUUUUAUGCAAUGAAACUGGGGAAACAAAUAACCACUUAUUUCUACACUGCAAAUUUACUGCUCAACUUUGGCAUUUGUUCUUCACCCUCACUAAAUUGGAAUGGACAAUGCCUGAGCACACAACUGAUUUGUUAAGUUGUUGGAUCAGAAGAGGUGGUAGCAAGAGUCAAAAGAAGUGGUGGAGGAUGAUACCCUCCUGCAUUUGGUGGUCAGUAUGGACGGAAAGAAAUGGGAGAUGCUUCGAAGACAAAGUCAGGUCCAUUAAUGAUGUAAAAUGGAAUUGUCUUGUCACGCUAUUUUUUUGGUUCAAGGAGAAUUGUAUAGAGGACGUAGACGAAUUUGUAGAUUUCUUAGGAGCAUUGUAACUCUAGACUCUAAGUUCUUUUUGUAACUAUUUUUGGAGGUGUCCGGCAUCCUUUACUGCUGAGGAAUAUAACAGUACCAUUUUUCAAAAAAAAAUGUCCAUAUACAUUAAAACCCUUAAUCAGGGUGGCUCCUGCUUUUAUAGUGUGGCAAAUUCGAAAAUGGAGAAACAGUAAGAUUCAUGGAGGUAAUAUGUCCAUAAAUAGAGUUUCCUAUGAUAUUGAUUUGAAUCUACAUCAAUAAUCUGUGAUGGUUUACCCGUGGAUAUCAGAAAUACCAAUGACAUGGGUGUUGAUGGUGCAGUUUUUUGAAGGAUUUAAAUCUUAGGUUUCGUGUCAGGCUGAAAAGUCGCAUUUCCCUCCUAGAGGUUACUAUAAGUACAAUACUGAUGGCUCCUCUAAAGGGAAUCCAGGACCUGCAUCAUGCGCCUUUUGCAUAAGAAAUGAUUCAGGGGAUUUCAUGUUUGCUAGUGCUAAUAAGAUCCACAACUCAAUAAGUAUCUAUGCUGAACCUAAAGCAACUGAACAAGGCAUCGAUUUUUGUAUAGAACAUAAUUUACUGUCUUUAGUGGUGAAAACUGAUUCACUAGCUAUGAAAAGCUUCAUUGAAGAUGGAUGGAAGAUCCCAUGGAACAUUAGUAUGGAAGUUAGGAGGAUACAAGGAUGGAAGGAAAAGGAAGAGAUCAUUUUUCAACACAACAUGAGAGAAGGGAAUCAAGUGGCGGAUUUUCUAGCUAACUUUCUUUUCUUUUUUGUAGGAUCUUUAAGUUACAAUUAAUUAGCAAAAUUACCUACUGGAGGAAGGAAACUACUAAAUAUAGACAAACAAAUCAUUCCAAGGCUUCGUUUUCAGAAGGUCAAAAAUACUAGGCACAAAAUACAAUUUAAUCAAAGCAUGUAAGAAGGAAUAAACAGUCAGCAAUUUUAGCAAUUGGGCUACAACAGAAACAUUACAGUACUGCAAGGGCAACAGAAAUGGAACAAAGUAGAAUUAAAAUAGCUUGUUUGACUUAGCUUCUUAUUUUUCUGAAGUUAAACAGCGAUAUUAACCUCUUAAUGAAGUUCAACUUGCUUGAAAGAUGAAGGAAAAGCUUAGUAAAAUAGAGUGACAUGAAAAAUUCAUCGGAGAUAGUGAAGAGGGUACAGAUCUAAUUAAAAACCUUACCUUGAGUUUUGAAUUGACUCUAUAAAUCCACAUCUUGAAGAAAUCUUCAUUUGGAUUGGUUACCAUGACAUACGGUGAGAGCUUAUGGGAUGCAUUUAGAUGGAACCUACCCAGAAGAUAUGGAAAUUACUAGUCAAAUACAAAGCAAGGAAAUGGUUGCAAAUUUCAGUUACUUCACAUCUUCACAAAGCUAUUGGUUUACUGAAUCAGAGAUUUACCUGGAAGUGACGGUCGACGAUGGAGAUCGGCAUCUAUGGAAGCUUUAACUCAGCUGAACCAAUCUUUCCUUUUCUGUCCAUUAGGUUUCCUUUGACUUUACUUUACUUUUCUUUCUUUUUUUUGUCUUAGUUUUAGUUUAUUUGGAAUGGAUCGAGUCUACUUUGGACUUUGCAUUUUGCUUAAUUUUGUACAGAUCUAUUUUAAUUAAAUGAGGCUCACGGGUCUCACCAAAAAGUUGAAUAAAAG